UGGGGAAUAUUGCACAAUGGGCGGAAGCCUGAUGCAGCAACGCCGCGUGAGUGAUGAAGGCCUUCGGGUUGUAAAGCUCUGUCUUUUGGGACGAUAAUGACGGUACCAAAGGAGGAAGCCACGGCUAACUACGUGCCAGCAGCCGCGGUAAUACGUAGGUGGCAAGCGUUGUCCGGAUUUACUGGGCGUAAAGGAUGCGUAGGCGGAUUUUUAAGUGAGAUGUGAAAUACCCGGGCUUAACUUGGGUGCUGCAUUUCAAACUGGGAAUCUAGAAUGCGGGAGAGGAGAAUGGAAUUCCUAGUGUAGCGGUGAAAUGCGUAGAGAUUAGGAAGAACACCAGUGGCGAAGGCGAUUCUCUGGACCGUAACUGACGCUGAGGCAUGAAAGCGUGGGUAGCAAACAGGAUUAGAUACCCUGGUAGUCCACGCCGUAAACGAUGAGUACUAGGUGUAGGAGGUAUCGACCCCUUCUGUGCCGCAGUUAACACAAUAAGUACUCCGCCUGGGAAGUACGAUCGCAAGAUUAAAACUUAAAUGAAUUGACGGGGGUCAUAGCUGUUUU
This 561-nucleotide ribosomal RNA is filed under the name uncultured bacterium. RNAcentral's name for it is "partial 16S ribosomal RNA". It matches the Rfam family "Bacterial small subunit ribosomal RNA", at positions 355 to 936 of the family's 1533-position model. The record is from RNAcentral.